This is a long non-coding RNA of Anguilla anguilla (European eel), 1874 nucleotides long. RefSeq lists it as uncharacterized. The transcript has 2 exons. The record is from RefSeq and is a predicted model, not a curated record. Lineage: Eukaryota; Metazoa; Chordata; Actinopteri; Anguilliformes; Anguillidae.
AACAAGAACAUGUGAUGUCAUCUAAGGAACAGUCAACAUUUUGAAUGAGUCUUUUGAAAACAUAAGAACGUCCUUUGUGUUGUUGUGAACAAAUCUUCUGUAUGACUCCAUUAUGCAAAAAUAUAUCUUUAAAAGCUGAGACAGCAUUGUUUACUCCUGUUUCAGUCCCUCCAAGACUCUUUUCACACCUGUAAGGCUUCUUAAUACAAAGCUGUGAGCUCAAUGUGAACAAAGCAAAGAUUUUGUGUUUCUCCAGCCCUCAUUCCCAACCGAUCGCUAAUGCAAAUAUUUCAACUACUACAUUUCCCCAUUAACUGGGGAAUGGAUCAAAUAAAUGAAUCAUAAAAAUAUUUGGGAAUUUGGUUGGAUGAAAAGCUCAGAUUUAAAACCAGAUUGACAAUUCCUUAAAAAAUAAUGCAGAACGUGAGACUGUUCCUUGACACAGUUCCUUGUGCUUUAUCACAAAUGCAAGGUCUCUCAGUCUCUAUUGUCAUCUGUAUAAAAGUGCAGGCUCAGCCUCUUUAAGUUUGACUUACCAUUGUGAUCUGUAUGAGAGUGCAGGCUCAGCCUCUUUAAAUUUGAUUUACCAUUGUGAUCUGUAUGAGAGUGCAGGCUCAGCCUCUUUAAGUCUGACUUACCAUUGUGAUCUGUAUGAGAGUGCAGGCUUAGCCUUUUUACAUCUCUGACUCACCAUUGUGAUCUGUAUGAGAGUGCAGGCUCAGCCUCUUUAAGUUUGACUUACCAUUGUGAUUUGUAUGAGAGUGCAGGCUCAGCCUCUUUAAGUUUGACUUACCAUUGGUAUCUGUAUGAGAGUGCAGGCUUAGCCUUUUUACAUCUCUGACUCACCAUUGUGAUCUGUAUGAGUGCAGGCUCAGCCUCUUUAAGUUUGAUUUACCAUUGUGAUCUGUAUGAGAGUGAAGGCUCAGCCUCUAAGAUUGACUCACCAUUGUGAUCUGUAUGAGAGUGCAGGCUCAGCCUCUUUAAAUUUGAUUUACCAUUGUGAUCUGUAUGAGAGUGGCAUGUGUUUCAGUGGUAGUGGUGACGUGUUUCAGUGGUAGGUGGCAUGUGUUUCAGUGGUAGGUGGCAUGGGUUUCAGUGGUAGUGGGUAGCAUGUGUUUCAGUGGUAGUGGGUAGCAUGUGUUUCAGUGGUAGUGGGUGGCAUGGGUUUCAGUGGUAGGUGAUAUGUGUUUCAGUGGUAGAGGGUAGCAUGUGUUUCAGUGGUAGUGGGUAGCAUGUGUUUCAGUGGUAGUGGGUGGCAUGGGUUUCAGUGGUAGGUGAUAUGUGUUUCAGUGGAAGCGGGUGGCAUGUGUUUCAGUGGUAGUGGGUGGCAUGUGUUUCAUUGGUAGAGGAUGGCAUGUGUUUCAGUGGUAGUGGGUGGCAUAUGUUUCAGUGGUAGUGGAUGACAUGUGUUUCAGUGGUAGCAGGUGGCAUGUGUUUCAGUAGUAGUGGGUGGCAUGUGUUUCAUUGGCAGAGGGUAACAUGUGCUUCAGUGGUAGCAGGUGGCAUGUGUUUCAGUGGUAGUGGGUGGCAUGUGUUUCAGUGGUAGUGGGUAACAUGUGCUUCAGUGGUAGCAGGUGGCAUGUGUUUCAGUGGUAGUGGGUGACAUGUGUUUCAGUGGUAGCAGGUGACAUGUGUUUCAGUGGUAGCAGGUGACAUGUGUUUCAGUGGUAGCAGGUGACAUGGGUUUCAGUGGUAGGUGGUAUGUGUUUCAGUGGUAGUGGGUGGCAUGUGUUCCAGUGGUAGCGGGUGGUAUGUGUUUCAGUGGUAGAUGAAAUGCGGUUCAGUGGUAGCCACCACUUUUCCACUUUUCUGAGGGGAAAGGUGUAUGGUUGACACAUUUUAGACAAUAUAGACAAAGAAGAAAAAUAAAAGUU